Molecule: ribosomal RNA, 568 nt
Filed under: uncultured bacterium
Lineage: Bacteria
Description: bacterial SSU rRNA
Rfam family: Bacterial small subunit ribosomal RNA
Source: RNAcentral
CCUACGGGAGGCAGCAGUGGGGAAUAUUGCACAAUGGGCGAAAGCCUGAUGCAGCGACGCCGCGUGAGGGAUGACGGCCUUCGGGUUGUAACCCUCUUUCAGCAGGGAAGAAGCGAAAGUGACGGUACCUGCAGAAGAAGCGCCGGCUAACUACGUGCCAGCAGCCGCGGUAAUACGUAGGGCGCAAGCGUUGUCCGGAAUUAUUGGGCGUAAAGAGCUCGUAGGCGGCUUGUCACGUCGGAUGUGAAAGCCCGGGGCUUAACCCCGGGUCUGCAUUCGAUACGGGCUAGCUAGAGUGUGGUAGGGGAGAUCGGAAUUCCUGGUGUAGCGGUGAAAUGCGCAGAUAUCAGGAGGAACACCGGUGGCGAAGGCGGAUCUCUGGGCCAUUACUGACGCUGAGGAGCGAAAGCGUGGGGAGCGAACAGGAUUAGAUACCCUGGUAGUCCACGCCGUAAACGUUGGGAACUAGGUGUUGGCGACAUUCCACGUCGUCGGUGCCGCAGCUAACGCAUUAAGUUCCCGCCUGGGGAGUACGGCCGCAAGGCUAAAACUUAAAUGAAAUUGACGG